AGGACUCCUCAUCCUUUGGUUCGCCGCGAUCUGCCGACCGUACGCCCCGAACAACCUAAAAAAUAAAUCGGCUAAGUAUGUAGAAAGUGUCCGUGCCGCCCGUUUGAACAGGGGUUCAACUCCCCUCACCUCCACCA
This 137-nucleotide transfer-messenger RNA is filed under the name Clostridiales bacterium. RNAcentral's name for it is "partial transfer-messenger RNA". It matches the Rfam family "transfer-messenger RNA", at positions 236 to 374 of the family's 374-position model. Rfam says of the family: Bacterial tmRNA, also known as 10Sa RNA or SsrA, is named for its dual tRNA and mRNA-like properties. Lineage: Bacteria; Bacillati; Bacillota; Clostridia; Eubacteriales. The record is from RNAcentral.